AUUGGGCACGGUGGCGCACACCUGUAAUCCCAGUGACUUGGGAGGCUGAGGCAGGAGGAUCGUGAGUUCAAAGCCACCCUCAGCAAAAGCGAGGUGCUAAGCAACUCAGUGAGAUCCUGUCUCUA
This 125-nucleotide small RNA is filed under the name Marmota monax (woodchuck). The record is from RNAcentral. Lineage: Eukaryota; Metazoa; Chordata; Mammalia; Rodentia; Sciuridae.